This 3276-nucleotide long non-coding RNA is filed under the name Oryza sativa tropical japonica subgroup. Its description in RNAcentral is "lncRNA OsAzu_06g0004730". The record is from RNAcentral. Lineage: Eukaryota; Viridiplantae; Streptophyta; Magnoliopsida; Poales; Poaceae.
UAGAGAGCAGGGGGCAAUUGACCUCGAUCUGGCAGGCAUGGAGGGCGUCCUGGUGAGCGCGGCGACCGGAGCGAUGAACUCCGUCCUCGCAAAGCUCGCGGCCUUCCUCGGCGACGAGUACAAGCACGCCAAGGGAGUCCGCGACGACCUCGCCUUCCUCCAGUCCGAGCUCACCACCAUGAACAAGGCGCUGCACGCGCUGGCAGAUGCGGAUCAGCUCGACGAGCUCAGCAAGGACUGGAGGGACAGGGUGCGGGAUCUCGCCUACGACAUCGAGGACUGCAUCGACCUCUCCGUCCACCGCCUCCAUGGCGCCGGCGAAAGCGGCCUCGCCGCCAAGAUGGCGCGCAUGGCCAAGAAGAUCGGAGCGUUCCGUCAGAUCGCGAGCCAGAUCCAGCAGCUCAAGGCCCGUGUCUUGGAGGUCAGCGAGCGGCGUAACAGGUACACUCUCCAUGGACUUGUACCAACCAGCUCGGAUGCUUCCUCCUCGACGACCAAGGUUGAUGCCCGGCUGUGCGCGCUCUGGACGGAGACGAAGCACCUCGUCGGCAUCGAUGGCCCCAGGGAUGACAUCAUCAGCCGCUUGGAGCAGGAGUCGUCGUCAGCGGCAGCGCAGCAUGAUGUCAGGAUGGUAUCCAUUGUUGGAUGUGCAGGCUUGGGCAAGACCACUCUCGCUAAACAAGUGUACGACAAAAUCAAGGCGGAAUUCGAGUACAAGGCCUUUGUUUCGGUGUCUCAGAGACCGAAUAUAAAGGAGCUUCUACUCAACAUUUCUACUCAAGUUGGCAAGUCAACAAACACUUGGGAUGAUGUAGCAAAUCUCGUGGAUAAUCUUAGGGAGCAUCUCAAACAAAAAAGGUAUAUUAUCGUAGUGGAUGAUAUAUGGAGCCCGGAACCAUGGAACUUCAUUGGAGAAGCAUUGGUCAAAACUAGUCAUGGUAGCAUAAUAAUUUUGACGACACGUGUGAAAGAAGUGGCAAUAUCAUCUUCAUCUUCUCAUGGUGGUUUUGUUUAUCAAAUGAAACAUCUUGAUGGCGCUCACUCCAAAAGGUUAUUUUACAAAAGAAUUUUUGACUGUGAAGAGAAAUGUCCUCCUAAAUUUGAGCUAGCUUCUGAAGAGAUACUGAAAAGGUGUGAUGGUAUACCUCUAGCAAUUAUUUCCAUAUCCAGCUUCUUGGCUGAUCAUGAAUCGUUAUAUCAUUGGAAUGAGGUGAAAAAAAUUAUCAGUUCUCCACUACCAGGAAAUGAGUAUCUCGAGACCAUGCAGUCAGUGUUAGCACUCAGUUAUUAUAAUCUUCCACAUGAUAUAAGAAGUUGCCUGUUAUACUUGAGUGCAUUUCCAGAAGAUUGUGAAAUUGCAAAGAGUAGUUUGGUAAGUAGAUGGAUUGCAGAAGGAUUUAUCAAUGCAAGGCCAGGAGAAAAUGUAUAUGAAGCAGGGUUGAGGUAUUUCAACGUGCUGAUAAACCGAAGCUUGAUCCAACCAUGGAAUGAGCACUACGGUGAAGUGCUGACCUGUCGAGUUCACGACGUCAUUCUUAAUUUCAUAGUGUCCAAAUCAGUAGAGGAGAACUUUUUGUUCUUAUUGGAUCCGUCUGGUCUCGUACCUCUGCAGCAUAGCAACUACUGCAAGGUUCGUCGCCUGUCUCUCCAGGGUAACUACUGCCAAGAGGAGUUUGCCUCAAGGAUGAUGCCGAUUAAGCUUCAUGUUAGAUCACUUAUUUGUUCCGUGGACUACACAGGAUUCCAUCCUCUAUCAGAAUUUAAAGUUGCAAGAGUACUGGAUCUAGACGGGUGCCAAUCAUUGACAAACAACCAUCUUGCUAAUAUUGAAAAGUUAGUCCAUUUGCAGUAUCUGAGAAUUAGGGGAAGAGUGACUGUGCUCCCUGCCAAUAUUGGACGUCUCCAGCAUUUGGAAACAUUAGAUAUAAGAGGUAGUGAAGUUAAAGAAUUACCACCAUCCAUUGUUCUACUUCAGCGGUUGGCUCGCCUUUCUGUCAGUCAAGAUGUGAAGUUCCCAGCAGAAGGUGUUAGCAAGAUGCAAGCAUUGGAGGAGCUCACAGGUCUCACGCUCUUCUGUCAACCAGGAAGCUUUUUGAAGGAGCUAGGUGAGCUUACCAAGCUGAGAGUACUAGUUGUAUAUUGGAAGGCUUACCAUGCUAGAGAUUCUGAUGAGGCCCAAGCCGAGCAUAAAAAGAGCUGCAAGAAGAUUUUCACCUCCUCACUUAAUGCACUGGACAGGCAUAGCCUCCAUUCUCUGGAUUUUGUUGUGUUUAUGGAACGCUUCUUGUUUGAUCCGUGGUUCCUUGCCCUACAAAACCUCAAGAGAUUCGGCGUCGAAAGCACGCCCCGGAUGAUAAACAUUCCAAGUUGGAUUCGCCUUGCUGCCAAGCUUGAGAAAUUAGAGCUCAGUAAAGCAUAUGUUACUCAGAACGAUUUCGAAAUGCUUGGAGACCUGAAAGCUCUCGAGUAUCUUGCCCUUCCUUGUUCAGACACACGAGGAUCAUGGCUCACCAUCAGCAACCAUGGUUUCCGAUGUCUCAAGUUUGCGUUUCUUUGCAACGUGUUGUUUAUGCCUGAUUCCAUGCCUAAUCUGAAGGACCUCCGAAUUGACAUAGUAUUGGAUGAGGUUGGUGAGAACGAUUCUGUCUUCGAGCACCUCCCCAGCACCCUCUGCAGAGUCAAUGUAGAUAUUAUUGGCAAUCCACCUUCAACUCCAAGAGAUGUGGCCUCAGAAUUGGAAGAAAAAAUCUUGAACGUAGCAAAGACACAUCCCAACCGUCCGACGCUCACGACCCGAACACUCGAUAGGGACAUUUUGGUGGAUUGAAGGGGAUUUAUUUCACACCUAUUGUGGUGUGGAAUUAUUCCUCUUUAAACCCUUUCAGACCCCUUCCAUACCGAACAAGGCCUAAGGGGGACUAGAGGUGGAGCAACGAAAAGCAGGAGCCUUAGUGAGCAGCAGGUAAUUAACUUGCUCCUUCCUUCUAAGUGAUAAUUUUUUGCCAGAUAGUAUAAUUUGCCAGAUAGUAUAAUUUGCCAGAUAGUAUAUCAGGUAAUCCAUCUUGUCAUGGAAGAUCUAGACCUUAGAAGAUCGGCCUUUAGGCCCCCUUGAUUGUUCUAUUUUGUUUUUGGACUUGAAAUCCCAUUUCUGGGAUUGUAAACUUUUUCUUUUUUCCCCUUAAUUAAAUUCCGGCAGAUCUUCUGCCGUUGUUCCUUUAAAAAAAAAUAGUUUGCUCACCAGCUUGCUCCUUUUAUUUACCCUUUUCCAUUAGCGCU